ACGCCGUAAACGAUGUCGACUAGCCGUUGGGGUCCUUGAGACCUUUGUGGCGCACCUUCACGCGAUAAGUCGACCGCCUGGGGAGUACGGCCGCAAGGUUAAAACUCAAAUGAAUUGACGGGGGCCCGCACAAGCGGUGGAGCAUGUGGUUUAAUUCGAUGCAACGCGAAGAACCUUACCUACCCUUGACAUCGAGAGAACUUGGCAGAGAUGCCUUGGUGCCUUCGGGAACUCUCAGACAGGUGCUGCAUGGCCGUCGUCAGCUCGUGUUGUGAAAUGUUGGGUUAAGUCCCGUAACGAGCGCAACCCUUGUCCCUAUUUGCCAGCGAUUCGGUCGGGAACUCUAGGGAGACUGCCGGUGACAAACCGGAGGAAGGUGGGGACGACGUCAGGUCAUCAUGGCCCUUACGGGUAGGGCUACACACGUGCUACAAUGGCCGGUACAAAGGGUUGCGAAGCCGCGAGGUGGAGCCAAUCCCGAAAAGCCGGUCUCAGUCCGGAUCGGAGUGCUGCAACUCGACUCCGUGAAGUCGGAAUCGCUAGUAAUCGUGAAUCAGAAUGCUCGAUUGGCC
This 572-nucleotide ribosomal RNA is filed under the name Halomonas sp. RNAcentral describes it as "bacterial SSU rRNA". It matches the Rfam family "Bacterial small subunit ribosomal RNA", at positions 797 to 1368 of the family's 1533-position model. Lineage: Bacteria; Pseudomonadati; Pseudomonadota; Gammaproteobacteria; Oceanospirillales; Halomonadaceae. The record is from RNAcentral.